CCUACGGGUGGCAGCAGUGAGGAAUAUUGGUCAAUGGGCGCGAGCCUGAACCAGCCAAGUAGCGUGAAGGAUGACUGCCCUACGGGUUGUAAGCUUCUUUUAUAAAGGAAUUAAGUGAGGCACGUGUGCCUUUUUGUACGGACUUUAUGAUUAAGGAAGGGCUAACUCCGUGUCAGCAGCCGCGGUAAUACGGAGGUUCCGAGCGUUAUCCGGAUUUAGUGGGCUUAAAGGGAGCGUAGGUGGGUUGGUAAGACAGUGGUGAAAGUUUGCGGCUCAACCGUAGAAUUGCCAUUAUGACUAGCAAUCUUGAGUACAGGUGAGGUAGGCGGAAUACGUGGUGUAGAGGUGAAAUGCUUAGAUAUCGCGUAGAACACCGAUUGCGAAGGCAGCUAUCUGAACUGUCACUGACGCUGAUGCUCGAAAGUAUGGGGAUCAAACAGGAUUAGAUACCCGUGUAGUC
This 460-nucleotide ribosomal RNA is filed under the name uncultured bacterium. RNAcentral describes it as "partial 16S ribosomal RNA". It matches the Rfam family "Bacterial small subunit ribosomal RNA", at positions 338 to 795 of the family's 1533-position model. The record is from RNAcentral.